GGGGGCGAUGUGGGCUCGACGGGAAGGAACGCAGCAUCGGUGGCGGGCCGGGUGGCACCCGUUAACAGCCGCCUAAAAUAAGUGCGACUCCUGUUGCUUUGGCUGCGUAAUUGACGCAGCAGCCCGCCUGAUACUCGCUCGGUGGUAUCAGGGCCGGGUUCAGAGUGCCGAGUGCGCCUCCGCUGACGCCCGCUAAGCGGGGGCAAAGACCUCAGCGGGCUGGGGCAGUCCAGCGCUUGCCUGUGGGCGCUGAUUGCCGAGAGAACCAUCACAGGCUACGCCCGUAGGCACCGAUGUAGCUGCCUUCCCGGACGCGGGUUCAAUUCCCGCCGCCUCCACCA
RNAcentral lists this transfer-messenger RNA (341 nucleotides) under Armatimonadota. RNAcentral's name for it is "Fervidibacter sp002898575 Standard tmRNA". It matches the Rfam family "transfer-messenger RNA". From Rfam's summary of the family: Bacterial tmRNA, also known as 10Sa RNA or SsrA, is named for its dual tRNA and mRNA-like properties. Its role is to liberate the mRNA from a stalled ribosome. Lineage: Bacteria; Bacillati. RNAcentral also lists the same sequence under 1 other name. The record is from RNAcentral.